AACAGGAUUAGAUACCCUGGUAGUCCACGCUGUAAACGAUGUCGACUUGGAGGUUGUGCCCUUGAGGCGUGGCUUCCGGAGCUAACGCGUUAAGUCGACCGCCUGGGGAGUACGGCCGCAAGGUUAAAACUCAAAUGAAUUGACGGGGGCCCGCACAAGCGGUGGAGCAUGUGGUUUAAUUCGAUGCAACGCGAAGAACCUUACCUACUCUUGACAUCCAGAGAAUUUGCUAGAGAUAGCUUAGUGCCUUCGGGAACUCUGAGACAGGUGCUGCAUGGCUGUCGUCAGCUCGUGUUGUGAAAUGUUGGGUUAAGUCCCGCAACGAGCGCAACCCUUAUCCUUUGUUGCCAGCACGUAAUGGUGGGAACUCAAAGGAGACUGCCGGUGAUAAACCGGAGGAAGGUGGGGAUGACGUCAAGUCAUCAUGGCCCUUACGAGUAGGGCUACACACGUGCUACAAUGGCGCAUACGAAGAGAAGCGACCUCGCGAGAGCAAGCGGACCUCAUAAAGUGCGUCGUAGUCCGGAUUGGAGUCUGCAACUCGACUCCAUGAAGUCGGAAUCGCUAGUAAUCGUGGAUCAGAAUGCCACGGUGAAUACGUUCCCGGGCCUUGUACACACCGCCCGUCACACCAUGGGAGUGGGUUGCAAAAGAAGUAGGUAGCUUAACCUUCGGGAGGGCGCUUACCACUUUGUGAUUCAUGACUGGGGUGAAGUCGUAACAAGGUAACC
This 731-nucleotide ribosomal RNA is filed under the name uncultured bacterium. RNAcentral describes it as "bacterial SSU rRNA". It matches the Rfam family "Bacterial small subunit ribosomal RNA", at positions 771 to 1501 of the family's 1533-position model. The record is from RNAcentral.